GUCUUGACUCUGUUGAAGUGACAGCAGGCUCAGCCACUUCAGUUUUGUUUGAGGCCUUUCUGAGUCGUAGGAAGGUUUAAUAGUUCUGGAUUGCACAGCACAGCAGGGUGAGCUGGUCCUUACUGUGUUGGGUCAC
Molecule: long non-coding RNA, 136 nt
Organism: Melospiza melodia melodia
Lineage: Eukaryota; Metazoa; Chordata; Aves; Passeriformes; Passerellidae
Exons: 3
Source: RefSeq, a predicted model, not a curated record